RNAcentral lists this non-coding RNA (31 nucleotides) under Mus musculus (house mouse). The record is from RNAcentral. Lineage: Eukaryota; Metazoa; Chordata; Mammalia; Rodentia; Muridae.
UACACAAAACCAGUGUAAGAUUUGGCUCACC